CCUACGGGUGGCAGCAGUGAGGAAUAUUGGUCAAUGGGCGCGAGCCUGAACCAGCCAAGUAGCGUGAAGGAUGACUGCCCUACGGGUUGUAAACUUCUUUUAUAAAGGAAUAACGUGAGGCUCGUGUGCCUUUUUGUAUGUACUUUAUGAAUAAGGAUCGGCUAACUCCGUGCCAGCAGCCGCGGUACUACGGAGGAUCCGAGCGUUAUCCGGAUUUAUUGGGUUUAAAGGGAGCGUAGAUGGGUUGUUAAGUCAGUUGUGAAAGUUUGCGGCUCAACCGUAAAAUUGCAAUUGAUACUGGCAGCCUGGAGUACAGUUGAGGUAGGCGGAAUUCGUGGUGUAGCGGUGAAAUGCUUAGAUAUCACGAAGAACUCCGAUGGCGAAGGCAGCCUACUAGACUGCCACUGACAUUGAGGCUCGAAAGUGUGGGUAUCAAACAGGAUUAGAUACCCCAGUAGUC
RNAcentral lists this ribosomal RNA (460 nucleotides) under uncultured bacterium. RNAcentral describes it as "partial 16S ribosomal RNA". It matches the Rfam family "Bacterial small subunit ribosomal RNA", at positions 338 to 795 of the family's 1533-position model. The record is from RNAcentral.